GAGGAAGAUUAGCCCUGAGCUUACAUCCACCACCAAUCCUCCACUUUUUGCUGAGGAAGACUGGCCCUGAGCUAACAACUGUGCUCAUCUUCCUCUACUUUAUAUGUGGGAUGCCUGCCACAGCAUGGCUUGCCAAGCGGUGCAUAUGUCCGCACAUGAGAUCUGAAGCCAUGAACCACGGGCCACCAAAGUAGAACGUGCAAACUUCACCACUGUGUCACCACCGGGCUGGUCCCUUAACCCAGAGGGUGACAUCAAGAAGAAUUUUCACACAUGCAGAUUUCAAGACUCUUAUAGGAGAAAGAACUGAAGCUGCCCAGUAAUCCUCCUUUGUUGCCGAACUUUGAAGCUUGGAAGUAGCAUAAAUGAAGAUUGAUUGCAAGAUUUCGCAGGGACUCACAGGCACCCAGAUUGGGGUGAAACGGAGGCAGCGUCAAUCUGAGGAAUGGAUUUCACAUUUGGUACUAUUCGACUCCAGAUGAAGUAAAAUGUGGCUUUACCUCCAAUGUAAAUAUUGAUCACCAUGAAACCACCGACUCAGUUUGGCAUGCAAAAGUGCCGUGCCAGCACCACCUGAUGGGAAGAAUGUCCAAACUGAGGAAGAAUGUCCUUGUGACUGUUAAUGUGGAUCUAUGACUUUGAAGUGGAGCACCCACUAUCCCAAAGAUAUUUUUCCAACCCCUUGGACAUAGUGUUUCUCUUGUUAUGUGAAAUCACGUGAUUGAUUGUGAAAAAGGAUAUGAAUUUGGAUAUCUUAGUCCAGUCUUGUAGCCUAACAUAAAAACC
RNAcentral lists this long non-coding RNA (786 nucleotides) under Equus asinus (donkey). Its description in RNAcentral is "lncRNA (ENSEASG00005026349.1)". Lineage: Eukaryota; Metazoa; Chordata; Mammalia; Perissodactyla; Equidae. The record is from RNAcentral.